This 731-nucleotide ribosomal RNA is filed under the name uncultured bacterium. RNAcentral's name for it is "bacterial SSU rRNA". It matches the Rfam family "Bacterial small subunit ribosomal RNA", at positions 771 to 1501 of the family's 1533-position model. The record is from RNAcentral.
AACAGGAUUAGAUACCCUGGUAGUCCACGCCGUAAACGAUGUCUACUUGGAGGUUGUGGCCUUGAGCCGUGGCUUUCGGAGCUAACGCGUUAAGUAGACCGCCUGGGGAGUACGGUCGCAAGAUUAAAACUCAAAUGAAUUGACGGGGGCCCGCACAAGCGGUGGAGCAUGUGGUUUAAUUCGAUGCAACGCGAAGAACCUUACCUACUCUUGACAUCCAGAGAAUCCAGCGGAGACGCAGGAGUGCCUUCGGGAGCUCUGAGACAGGUGCUGCAUGGCUGUCGUCAGCUCGUGUUGUGAAAUGUUGGGUUAAGUCCCGCAACGAGCGCAACCCUUAUCCUUGUUUGCCAGCACGUAAUGGUGGGAACUCCAGGGAGACUGCCGGUGAUAAACCGGAGGAAGGUGGGGACGACGUCAAGUCAUCAUGGCCCUUACGAGUAGGGCUACACACGUGCUACAAUGGCGCAUACAGAGGGCAGCGAGCCAGCGAUGGUAAGCGAAUCCCAAAAAGUGCGUCGUAGUCCGGAUUGGAGUCUGCAACUCGACUCCAUGAAGUCGGAAUCGCUAGUAAUCGUGAAUCAGAAUGUCACGGUGAAUACGUUCCCGGGCCUUGUACACACCGCCCGUCACACCAUGGGAGUGGGCUGCAAAAGAAGUAGGUAGUCUAACCUUCGGGAGGACGCUUACCACUUUGUGGUUCAUGACUGGGGUGAAGUCGUAACAAGGUAACC